UAGUUAUGAAGGAGGUGGUAACUGAUGGUCAUAUUGAAAUUGCUGCAUUGAUGAAAAGGGAAGAGAAAUAUAAGGAGGUCACACAUCAGAAUGAUGUGUGGCAUGGAGCAAAGAACAUUGCAAAGAAAAUCACUACUGCUGCUAAAUCUAAAGACAAUGCAGAUUUGACCUUGUGGGCACCAUCAAUAAGGAACCAUUUUUGGUAUUGUUCAAAAACAUGUGCUAAUGACUCAAAAAAUCUCAAAGUAAGAUUCACAUUGAAGUACUACUGGUUUUUGCAGCAAUACUUAUCUAGUUCGUGCAAACUGUACAUACAUGUGUUAAUAUGUAGUCACCUUAUGUUGUAUUUGGAUUUUACACCAUGUUGUUGAUGAGCAUGAGUGGGUGUUGGAGGAAGGUGUAAAUGGUGGAAAAUGUGAACAUGAUCCUCUUAAUGAAAGUGAGAGAAAGAAGCCAUGGCUUAAGAAAGAGUCUUCUGCCCAUAAAGCACUGGCAAAGAUCAUUCUGGACACUCGCUUUUUAAACACUUUGGUGUAUUAUGUUAACUUCAGUCCAUCAUCUUCUGUCAUCGUCUGCUGGUCAUCGUCAUCGGGU
Molecule: unclassified non-coding RNA, 594 nt
Filed under: Dendronephthya gigantea
Lineage: Eukaryota; Metazoa; Cnidaria; Anthozoa; Malacalcyonacea; Nephtheidae
Description: uncharacterized LOC114516154, transcript variant X2
Source: RNAcentral